Molecule: ribosomal RNA, 917 nt
Filed under: Aspergillus nidulans
Lineage: Eukaryota; Fungi; Ascomycota; Eurotiomycetes; Eurotiales; Aspergillaceae
Description: LSU rRNA
Rfam family: Eukaryotic large subunit ribosomal RNA
Source: RNAcentral
UAAGCAUAUCAAUAAGCGGAGGAAAAGAAACCAACCGGGAUUGCCUCAGUAACGGCGAGUGAAGCGGCAAGAGCUCAAAUUUGAAAGCUGGCCCCUUCGGGGUCCGCGUUGUAAUUUGCAGAGGAUGCUUCGGGUGCGGCCCCUGUCUAAGUGCCCUGGAACGGGCCGUCAGAGAGGGUGAGAAUCCCGUCUUGGGCAGGGUGCCCGUGCCCGUGUGAAGCUCCUUCGACGAGUCGAGUUGUUUGGGAAUGCAGCUCUAAAUGGGUGGUAAAUUUCAUCUAAAGCUAAAUACCGGCCGGAGACCGAUAGCGCACAAGUAGAGUGAUCGAAAGAUGAAAAGCACUUUGAAAAGAGAGUUAAACAGCACGUGAAAUUGUUGAAAGGGAAGCGCUUGCGACCAGACUCGGCCCCGGGGUUCAGCCAGCACUCGUGCUGGUGUACUUCCCCGGGGGCGGGCCAGCGUCGGUUUGGGCGGCCGGUCAAAGGCCCCAGGAAUGUAUCGCCCUCCGGGGUUGUCUUAUAGCCUGGGGUGCAAUGCGGCCAGCCCGGACCGAGGAACGCGCUUCGGCACGGACGCUGGCGUAAUGGUCGCAAACGACCCGUCUUGAAACACGGACCAAGGAGUCUAACAUCUACGCGAGUGUUCGGGUGUCAAACCCGUACGCGCAGUGAAAGCGAACGGAGGUGGGAGCCCCCCCGGGGCGCACCAUCGACCGAUCCUGAUGUCUUCGGAUGGAUUUGAGUAAGAGCGUAGCUGUGGGGACCCGAAAGAUGGUGAACUAUGCCUGAAUAGGGCGAAGCCAGAGGAAACUCUGGUGGAGGCUCGCAGCGGUUCUGACGUGCAAAUCGAUCGUCAAAUUUGGGUAUAGGGGCGAAAGACUAAUCGAACCAUCUGAUAGCUGGUUCCUGCCGAAGUU